CGAAGCUCUAAGUCUCGGUCUCAUUAAAUCACGCGACGACCUCUUUAUCACAACAAAAUUAUGGUGUAGCUUCGCUCAACGAGAUCAAAUUGUUCCUACCUGUAAAAUGAGCCUCCAGUAAGCACAUUUAUGAACUGAAAUUCUUAGUACGUCCAUUAAUUAUAUAAUUAUUGGUACCAAUAAGUUAUAAAUUUCUAUGUAGGAACCUUAAGUUGGACUACGUUGACUUGUACUUAAUACACAUGCCACUGAGGUUGAGUCAAAUGAUACAGAAGACACCAGUUGAUAAAGAAAUCAUACAUCCUUUGGAUAUGAAGGGAGUUUGGGAAGGCAUGGAAGAGUGUCAAAAAUUGGGUCUCACAAAGGCCAUUGGUGUCAGUAAUUUCUCUUGUAAGAAGCUAGAGGAAGUCCUUUCCAUUGCCAAAAUUCCUCCAGCAGUCAAUCAAGUGAGUUUUACUUCCCUCUCCGAAUAC
RNAcentral lists this long non-coding RNA (473 nucleotides) under Olea europaea (common olive). RNAcentral describes it as "long non-coding RNA (OEUR_LNC000389)". The record is from RNAcentral. Lineage: Eukaryota; Viridiplantae; Streptophyta; Magnoliopsida; Lamiales; Oleaceae.